Molecule: ribosomal RNA, 465 nt
Filed under: uncultured bacterium
Lineage: Bacteria
Description: partial 16S ribosomal RNA
Rfam family: Bacterial small subunit ribosomal RNA
Source: RNAcentral
CCUACGGGGGGCAGCAGUGGGGAAUAUUGCGCAAUGGGCGAAAGCCUGACGCAGCGACGCCGCGUGAGGGAUGAAGGUCUUCGGAUCGUAAACCUCUGUCAGCAGGGAAGAACGGUCACUGUGCUAAUCAGCAGUGAAUUGACGGUACCUGCAAAGGAAGCACCGGCUAACUCCGUGCCAGCAGCCGCGGUAAUACGGAGGGUGCGAGCGUUAAUCGGAAUUACUGGGCGUAAAGCGCUCGUAGGCGGUAUGUCAAGUCAAGGGUGAAAUCCCCGCGCUCAACGUGGGAACUGCCUUUGAAACUGGCAAACUGGAGUGUGUGAGAGGAGAGUGGAAUUCCAGGGGUAGGAGUGAAAUCCGUAGAUAUCUGGAGGAACAUCAGUGGCGAAGGCGACUAUCUGGAACAUAACUGACGCUGAGGAGCGAAAGCGUGGGUAGCAAACAGGAUUAGAUACCCGAGUAGUC